RNAcentral lists this ribosomal RNA (477 nucleotides) under uncultured Hydrogenophaga sp. Its description in RNAcentral is "bacterial SSU rRNA". It matches the Rfam family "Bacterial small subunit ribosomal RNA", at positions 97 to 570 of the family's 1533-position model. Lineage: Bacteria; Pseudomonadati; Pseudomonadota; Betaproteobacteria; Burkholderiales; Comamonadaceae. The record is from RNAcentral.
GGCGAACGGGUGAGUAAUGCAUCGGAACGUGCCCAAUCGUGGGGGAUAACGCAGCGAAAGCUGUGCUAAUACCGCAUACGAUCUAUGGAUGAAAGCGGGGGACCUUCGGGCCUCGCGCGAUUGGAGCGGCCGAUGUUAGAUUAGGUAGUUGGUGGGGUAAAGGCUCACCAAGCCGACGAUCUAUAGCUGGUCUGAGAGGACGACCAGCCACACUGGAACUGAGACACGGUCCAGACUCCUACGGGAGGCAGCAGUGGGGAAUUUUGGACAAUGGGCGCAAGCCUGAUCCAGCAAUACCGCGUGCAGGAAGAAGGCCUUCGGGUUGUAAACUGCUUUUGUACGGAACGAAAAGGCUCUUUCUAAUAAAGAGGGCUCAUGACGGUACCGUAAGAAUAAGCACCGGCUAACUACGUGCCAGCAGCCGCGGUAAUACGUAGGGUGCGAGCGUUAAUCGGAAUUACUGGGCGUAAAGCGUGC